GACGAACGCUGGCGGCGUGCUUAACACAUGCCAGUCGAACGGAAAGGCCCUGCUUUUGUGGGGUGCUCGAGUGGCGAACGGGUGAGUAACACGUGAGUAACCUGCCCUUGACUUUGGGAUAACUUCAGGAAACUGGGGCUAAUACCGGAUAGGAGCUCCUGCUGCAUGGUGGGGGUUGGAAAGUUUCGGCGGUUGGGGAUGGACUCGCGGCUUAUCAGCUUGUUGGUGGGGUAGUGGCUUACCAAGGCUUUGACGGGUAGCCGGCCUGAGAGGGUGACCGGCCCCAUGGGUGGUGAGGACGGCCAAACGUCGUGCGGGGGGGAAGGGGGGGGAAAGCUAUCAGAAUGCGGGACUGCGUCCCGCAGGACGGCCGAGGGGGGGAUGGGGGGCUGAGGGUUUCAAGCGUUUUUGCCAUGUGGGGGGGAGGGAGGGAGGGGAAUGGAAAAGGAAGCACCGGAAAACCAGGGGCGAGAAGGCGGGGAAAAGACGAAGAGCAAACGUAUGAGU
This 507-nucleotide ribosomal RNA is filed under the name uncultured bacterium. RNAcentral describes it as "partial 16S ribosomal RNA". The stretch from base 20 to 329 matches the Rfam family "Bacterial small subunit ribosomal RNA", at positions 47 to 358 of the family's 1533-position model. The record is from RNAcentral.